CCCUUAGAUGUUCUGGGCCGCACGCGCGCUAUACUGAUGCAUUCAACGAGUUCUUCCUGGUCCGAGAGGAAUGGGUAACCUUUUGAAAGUGCAUCGUGCUAGGGAUAGACUAUUGCAAUUAUUGGUCUUCAACGAGGAAUUCCUAGUAGACGUAGUUCAUCAGACUGCAUCGAUUACGUCCCUGCCCUUUGUACACACCGCCCGUCGCUCCUACCGAUUGAGUGGUCCGGUGAGGCUUUGGGAUCUGAGCGGAAAGAGCGUUUCGCUGUUUCUGCUCGGAAAACUCAGUCGAACCUUAUCAUUUAGAGGAAGGAGAAGUCGUAACA
This 326-nucleotide ribosomal RNA is filed under the name uncultured eukaryote. RNAcentral describes it as "partial 18S ribosomal RNA". It matches the Rfam family "Eukaryotic small subunit ribosomal RNA", at positions 1470 to 1796 of the family's 1831-position model. The record is from RNAcentral.